Long non-coding RNA from Suricata suricatta (meerkat), 722 nucleotides. RefSeq lists it as uncharacterized. Lineage: Eukaryota; Metazoa; Chordata; Mammalia; Carnivora; Herpestidae. The transcript has 3 exons. The record is from RefSeq and is a predicted model, not a curated record.
AGAGCGCGCACUCGACCUGCGCGGUCCCUCCUCCGCGCUGGAACUGACCCGCAGUCUAGGCGGUUUCAGAUAAGUUAGGAGAAUGGGAGGAGAGACAAUAGCUAUAAAAAUCUGGAGUCUGGAAAGCAGAAAUAUGAUGCACAUGGUAUCUCACAAACAUUUAUCCUAUGGUGAUUGAAGACUUUUGAACACAGGGACAUAUCUGUCUAUGACCAGGAAGUAACCUCUCAUCAGACAGUGCAUCUGUCAGACCCUUGAUCUUGGGACUUCUCAGCCUCCAGAACCGUGAGAAAUAAAUUUCUCUUGUUUAUAAGCUACCCACUCUAUGGUAUUCUUCUAUAGUAUUCUGAACAAAGACAGCACUCCACCCUAGCCAAACACCAUGGAAGAAAACAUGGCCCAUCCCCACCCCUGUCAACAAAGGCCAAGUGGGUGACCUACACUUCCAUCCUUUCUCAAGGUGGCUCCUCCCCCACAAGAAGACCUGGUGGCAGGCUGGCACUUCUAUCCCUACUCAGUAAUAAUAAAGCUCCUCCUCCCCCAAAAGGGUAUUGGUGAAAGCCCUGUGGGAUGCUAGACUUCCAUCCCCCCCAGCAGUAAUGAGGCACACUCCCCCCUCUUCUGGGUGGUGUCAGAAUUGGCCAAGUGGAAAGCCAGAACUUUCACCACCAUUCAGUGGUAACAGUGCAUCCUCCACCUCCUGAACUAUCAUUGCAUUUCCU